GGCGUGUCUCCUUCUGGCCGCCUUUUUUCGCAGAGCGGCGGGUGGCAGGGUGCGCCUCCGCCUCUCCGGCGGCGCAAGGGAUGGCUCAGCCGUUUGGAAGUCACCUCUUCCUAAUUGGACAGGUGCGCUCGCCUUAUGGCCUCCGAUUGUUGGCGCUUCCUCUGCGCACCUUUAAUUCUCCGGUUAUUUGCUCGCGGCGCGCCCGAGUGCCCCCCUGAAUAGUUGUUUGGCGCCAAGGUCUAGUUUGGGAAUAGAUCUGCUAUUUCCAAAAUAAGAAGGCGUGGGUCGUAUAGAUCAUAGCAUAAAUCUCCCCAGUUCGUCUGCUUAUUGUGAGAUGGGUAGAAAUUUCAGUACUCGGGGGUGCUGGUCUGCUGGAGUAACCUCGAAUUUACAGUGCCACUAUGUGGUCCGUACUGCAGCAUAACCGUUUAAUCUCAGGCUCCCCCAUCCCUGACCAGAUUGCAUGGUUCUUAGCCAGUUGAGCUAACAGGCUAACUGACGGAGAGCUUCAGUUCUGAACUGAAACGGGUGCUCAUUGAAUCCAAAAUCAGAUUCAUCUUCUUUCCAAAACAGCCCUUUGUACAGCACUAAUGCAACCAUUAUUUGCGAUUUUGCGUUGCUCUCAUCACGGCAAAUAAUGUUCACUUUAUGUUAGGAACCUGCUACGAUCUAUCUUGACUAGUCACUUCAACAGAUGAAUUGUAGCAGUAGCAUAGCAAUUACAGGGGAGAGGUUACAGGAACAGGAAGAACAGAGAUGAACUGGAGGUAGGGGAAAGAGAAGGGAGCCGCCGCCGUUCGUGCCUGAUCCUACGCGGGUACCUCCUCGUGGCCUGCUUCCCUUGUAUUUGUAGUGGGCACCCUGGUUAAUGCACCACUGGGCUUGGCCCACGUACCACCGACGGGCAAGCCAAUGGGUCCCUAACAUCCCUCCCUUCUUGAAAUGCGGCUUGCCCCCAAGCCGCUGACAUGAGGAGCUCGCCAGGAUCCCAGGGUGCUUGGAGGUUCUUGAUCAUGUUGUGGUCGCCGUGGUAGUUGUCGUGGUCGUAGCCACAGUUUAGGUGGAUUUGAACUAGCUCGAAGAAGUGGUCGUGGUUGAGGUAGUAGUCGCUGUCAUGGGGAUCUUGGUAGAGGAAGGCAGAGGCGUCUUUGAUAUCCCUCCCUUCUUGAGGAUCUACUUGUGCACUAGUUGAUGCCAUGUAGAAGCUGUGUGUUACAUAAAGUCCAAGCACCAGGAUAGAACGGCCUGGCAAGCAUCUUGUUGGCUGUUGUAGUUGAGACUUGCACAUAAGAGCAACAACAGAAAAUGGCAGAGUUGCGCCCAUAGCAAGGAACUCUUCCCACAGGUGCGCUUGUCGAGUCAACUCCAGUAACAAGAACACCGCCGGUCCUCCGGGGUCCCAAAACAUGCCCAUCUGGUACAUGCCCAUGUCGAACUCCCAUAUACAUAUGGCAGAGACGAGAGGAAAAAGAAAACACUUGCAUUGAGCAUCACCAUCUUAUUGAAAUAGAGCCCCAACACCCAUUUCUGAAAAGAGCCCCACUCGAAGAUGCUAAUAACAGAAGCACAAACUUCAUCUGAUUUCGGAUAUCUUGUACCAGAACCAACCUCAAAGCAAUCCCACAAUUCAUGAUAAACCUUGGUUGAUAUAAGAUGCUGACACUCACAAGUUUCUGAAGCUUCAGUACUGGGCAUAGUUCUGAAAUUGAUAAUAAUUUCCACGCUUUCCAGUUGCUGUACCAGAUAGCGAUGCAUCUGAUCGCCACCAGCCUGUAUACUUGAACAUAUAGGAACCACCAAUUGAUGUAAUGAAUCAUCGACAAGUAUAGUAAGGACACAAAGAAUGGCCGGACUGGUGUUCAUAUAUAAUUUCAGAAGUCCUGAAUCAGUAUCAGUUGUCCGACAAUUGAUCCCAUUGAAUCUCUGGUUGAACCAUGCAUCACCCCAUAUGCUUUCAAAUAGAACAUAUACCCAGCGCAGAUGGAUGCUCCAGCCUAGACAAUUUAUGCGCUUUACUGCAUCAGUUAGCAGUCCCCUCUUGUGGACACUGCCAAGAGGAAUUAGAUUAUGUGGCCCACCAUUCUCCAGCUUCCUCUCGAAUGUACACUUCUCCAUACAAAAAUCAUAGGCAUGAGCACAAUGGUGAAAAUAUUCAGCACCUUCCAGUUGCCGCACCAUACAACAGGAAUAAGACUGCAGACUCUUGUAUUUAACUUGGUCUGUAUGCAUUGUUUCUGAACCCUUCUUUUCAUGUUCAACAAUAUAUGUUACUUGAUCUGGUCGACGCCAAGACUGCUACCGUGCACCAUGUAAAUAACUGAAGGGCUCUUCCAUGGGAAUUAGUACAGAACAACAAAUAGGCUGAACCAUCAAGCAUGCCAAGAGGACAUAUGGAUUACCACAUUGUUCAGAACUGCAAUGUCUAGUAAAAUGGCCACUCCCUUGAAAUUCCUCUAGAUUGAAAUAUGACCACUUCAUUGUCAAUCUCAUGAUUUGAACUAUCCCUUCAACUAGAAACUGUACUGCCUGACAAUUACAGAAAAAAUAUGAUCUUGAUAGGUUCCACUGGGCAUUCUUUUGACUGAACCUGAACAUCGGCUGGGCAUCUUGAGCACAAAAUUCAUAUGAGGACUGCACAAUAAACACAACUAGCCUCCGUUCUGUGGUACCCAAGGUCAGAUCAUAUAUUAAUUGCAUUAACAGAACACCAAUAUUGCUUGACAGCUCUACGAACAUAGCAUCCAGUUUCUGCACACUCCGAAAUAGAUGCACCUCCACACUAGCAAGACCUGAAUGAUGCAGUUCAUAAGCAAUAGUACGAGAACAUCCACAGAGUUCCGCAAGCCAAUUAUUGUCAUGAAAGAGCGUGACAAGCUUACUGAAACUUGAACCAUCAUGUUUCAAACACGUCAAGCACAAGAACAGACCAGGGAGUAUCCUUAUGCGAUGCCCGUUGAGAUUGGACCACCGCUUCCAUGUAUUGCACACAAGGUUUCCAACAUGACUUAAUUCCAUCAGGAAGGUACUACUAAUCAAACUACUGUUAUGCACUUGGAGAAACAGAAACGGAUGUGCCCUGAACAUCCAUGUAUGAGGGUCAUGCACAGGAGGUACGUGGAAAUUGCAAUGGGCAACACAAGCACGACAGACUUCUGAUGGCACCUUUAUUGCAAACGAAGGCCACGGAGUGGGUCGAAUCUCAUUCCUAUCUGCUAUAUGAUUUGACAGAAAGGAUGGCCACGGCAUGAAUCGUACCUCAUUCCCAUCAGCAAGAUCCCUCCAAAACGAUGGCCACGGCGUCGGCCGUAGCCUCAUCCACUGCCACCAGACUUGUUGAAACGCCAUUGCCAUCAGCGAGAGCUUAGGUGUGUCGGGAAGGCAGGAGCGCGGGUACUCCGCAGUCAGUAGUAUGGGCGCCGCAGGUGCAACAAUUUUGUUGGCGUCGUUGUACACGACUGUUGUCACCAGAGAGAAUCGCCGGGUGAAAACAUCGGUGAUGAUCACCCCAGGAGCGGCGUCCUCCUCAAUGACCGUGUGCGAAGGAAACUGCUCAACUUCCUUGUCAUUCCGGAUGACGGUGAGCUCGGGGAAGACAACAGUGGUGGCGUUGAGGUCGAUGGCAAGGUCGUGGCAGACGGUGGUGGAGGGGACGCCGGGAAAGAUGGCGAGCUCGGUGACGACUUCUGGAAUUGCCGCCACCAAUGUGUACUCGUCCGUGCCCGCGACUGGGACGCGGCAAUCGCUGUCAAGGGAAGACUUGGGGGAUGUAUCGUGGCCGUGAGGCGGCGUGCUGGUGCUGGCCGCCGCAGGGAUGUCGAUGGCCCCGACGGACUUGCCGUCAUGACCAGAGAUGGCCGCGGUGGAGUUGGUGAGGUCGAUGGCGGUGUCACGGUUGUCCUUGACGACGGUGGGCGAAGUAGACGCUGGGGCCGGCAACACGUCGAGUGUAGCGCACCACAUCUGCAGGCGACAACACCGGUAGUAGAUGCAGCGGCCAUCCCAGUAUGCGAAUGCGUGCGCCGAAGUGAAUCGGACAUCUGCCGCUACAAAAGGCUCUCCAUCCUCUGAUUUUGUUUGGGGAUACACCACCAACUGCUCUACACCAAAGGGAGCGAAGAGGGAAUACAAUACAUCGGUAGUGAUAGGGUAAAUCGCUUGCUCCACGACCAUGCUGAGAACUUGAUCUGAGAACAUUUGGUGGCUAGUCAUUCUGUCGAACAGGAAGAAGGCAAUGACUAGCGAAAAAAAAAUUGGGGCGGAAAGGAUGGUGGACUGGCUCUGAUAGCAGAUGUUAGGAACCUGCUAUGAUCUAUCUUGACUAGUCACUUCAACAGAUGAAUUGUAGCAGUAGCAUAGCAAUUACAUGGGAGAGGUUACAGGAACAGGAAGAACAGAGAUGAAUUGGAGGUAGGGGAAAGAGAAGGGAGCCGCUGCCGUUCGUGCCUGAUCCUACGCGGAUACCUCCUCGUGGCCUGCUUCCCUUGUAUUUGUAGUGGGCACCCUGGUUAAUGCACCACUGGGCUUGGCCCAUGUACCACCCACGGGCAAGCCAAUGGGUCCCUAACACUUUACUCUUUACAAUUGUCUGAUCAGUAGUACUAGAAUUUGGCAGUGUGCGAUGUUCAUCAUACUAAUCUGUUCAGUUCGUGGUUUUCUGAGAUUGGUACUCUGGAGAGUGUAGUUAAUGGCCAAUUGUAGAAAUGUCAAUACUUUCAAUAUUGGAAAAUUUACCAUGUUAUUAGGUUAUUCUAAUUUGGGAACCUCCUCCCACCCAGCCAUGACCGAGGUUCUCUCCUAGUCAGGAGGAGCAGUAUUAGCCAGUUGAGAAAUUAGCAGACUCACACACCGACAAUGCGCAAGUAACUUGGCAUUUCACAUUGAGAUCACAAAGCAAACUCAUCUUCUUUCUCCAUGGUCUUGCAACGCAAAUACAACCAUUAUUUACAUUGCUUUUAUCAUGGCACACAAUGUAGACUUGCCAAAACAAACCAACUGUUUUAUAUCAAGCCAAAUUCAUGGGAUAUCCCUGGAUUGCAAUCAAUACCCCACCACUAUGUUGAGCAAAUUGACAGUAGUACAACAUCAUCCAAAUACAUGCAUGUUUAGGUGAUAGUGACACUGCUGAUGCCUUGUCGCCACUCAUGGCCCAUCAGCUCCUUUGCUCUUGCCACGAGAGCAGAGAGAGGCACACUGUGCUCCAUCAGUCCUGCGUCGCCCAAGAAGAACCUGUACUUUUCAGCCCUUGAAGGUGUAUGUUCUACCCGCAGCAGUGCUUCCAUCAUCCAGCAUUUAUUAAAGCAGUCGGUGUAGCUAGGAUUGCACUCCAUUAUGUGUAUGGCAUGUUCAACUAUCACCCUCCUGAUUCCCGGACAAUGAGCAGUAGGUGUCAUAUUUGAGUUAAGUGCACAGACAAGUCUGUUUAUAAAUCUUUCUUUAAUCUGACCAUGCUCAAGUUCACGCUCAAAGUCUCCAGGAAUGGCAUGACAUAUUUGUGAACUAAGGCCAACAAGGACCUCUAGUUCCGCCCCUUCUGCAUCCAUUAUUCCUUCCAAGACCUAUAAUAGAAAUAGUUAAGUGAUGUAAACAUAAUAUGGCAAACUUCUGCUGCAUCUGAACCUAUAUAUAUAUGGUCAGGUGGUAAUCCAAGAUGAUGCCAUGUCGCCAUCUAUUUCUCUAGUUAUGUUAUGUAUAUUUGGCAGUUCAUACUUCUUACUUCUUAUUACUCUCAACAUUGAAAUGACUUAGUUGCAUGACAUAAACUAUAUCAUGAAUGAUGUGCAUGUCCGUGCCAAGAAAUGUCCAUAGUUAGAAAAAAAAUGAAUUCAUGCAUUUUUCUUUAACAAUUUGUGAGAUAGGAAAUGCCGCAACUGUUAAGCUUCAUGCACUAGCCAACGCGACAAAAAAUUUGAACUGAUAUGAAAAAGGUCAGGCAAUCCACAUAUACACUUCAACACCCCCUCUCACGUGCGACGCGGAAAGUCAACACAUGGAUAGACUCAGAGGUAUGGCUCAAGAGGCCUAUACAUGGACAAAGGGGAGCAACGACAAUCUUUUGGAUAAAUUGCGAAAGCCAGGACUCGAACUUAAGACAAUGGGCUCUGAUACCAUGUGUAAGCUUCAUGCACUAGCUAAUGCAACCAAAAGUCCGAACUAGUGAAAGAGCCUAGGCAAUCCACAUAUACACUUCAAUAGCAACAACAGGUGCAACAUCUAAUUUUACUUGUCAGGGCUCACCUCUCGCAAGAUGUGAGAGAACUCCUUCAGUUCGGAGUUGUUGAACUUAGGUUGAGCAUGCAUGCACAUACUUCGCAACAAGCUUGCUGCUACGUACCUGUACAUGUCCCCAUGGAUCAUAAAUGCGAGCUCCUUGAUGAAUACAUACCCUGGUUCGGCUAACAUAACCAAACAGUUAUUCGCACUGUCCAUUGCUAGCACUGCCAGGGCUUGCCCGGCGACCUUUCGUAACUUAUCUGAAUAUGUACUUGAGGCUGCUUCUCGGUUAAGAAAUGCAUGCAUCAACCUGCUAAUGAUCACCCGAAUCUUCCCGAUCUCGUCCCUUGUGUUUGCAUCCAUGGAAAUGUUUCUAAGGAUUUCUGUUGUUAGCUCCCUAAGUUCUUGGCUGCUCCCACUGUCUUCCAAGAUCGCUGCAAGGUUGCUCAAAAGGAAGGGAUGUUCUGAAAUCUCCUGUCGCAAAGUUACCCCAAACUUCCCUCGAGUACUUGCAAGUCUUCUCAGCAGUUUCAACGAUGAACCUUUCAGCAGUGCCUGGUCUGUCUCACUAAUAUUGGUCAUGUCAGUUCUGUUGCUUGUGAAAUCUAUGAUCUUUGAAAUGAGGCCUGUUGAUCUGUUGAUUUCUACACGGUUCUCAAUAUCAAAGCUAGCAAGAGUGUCAAGAAUUAACAUGCCCAGUACAGGGAGCAGAUCCUGGUCCGUUGAUGGCUCCUCCUCUGGAAUAUACCAGCAUUUGGUAUCUGCUUCCAGCAUCUGAGUGUACAUGAGUUUUGUCCAUCCAUGUUAGAUGGCUCCUCCCUUGGAACCAAACAAUAUACUGCCAUCUGUUUCAACCAUUUAAGCAUGGGUGUCCUCUGUUCGUCCAUGGCAACUUGCUGAAUCAGGGUAUCUUGUUCUGCCUCUAGGCUACCAAUGUCUAGGAGAGGAUCCUUUAUUUUCUGCUGGUGAACAGUAUCAAGAAGUGAGGCUAUGAGCUGCAUUGCCCCAGGGACAGAGACAACUCGGAGGCUACCAGCAAGCUCAGCUAUGACCUUCGCGGCAAAUGAUCUAAUAUUUGCAUCUCCUUCACUUGUCCAGCCCAACAUGUUGAAUAAGACAGUUACUGUCUUCGUGGAAGUCGCUAGUUUUGAGAUGGCUUUGGUCUUGAUAGGUUCAUUUUUUAGGAAAAUGUGCAACAUGCGAAGUCCAUAGAGCUGCAUCUUGGGUGAGUCUGACUUUAAAGAAUCCAUUGCAAAUGCGAUGAGGCUGAUCUUCUUUCGGGCAAACACAGCGCCGUCCAUGCAUUUCUCAAAGGCAUAGGCAUAGUACAAAUUGACAUAUUCCACUGCCCGGGGACCUCUGAAUCUAGCACCACGGGCGAGGCAUCUCAGGAGGAUGCAUGAAAAGACAUCAAGGAUGCAGGCAACAAUGUAAAGUAUUCCCUGGCCAAGCACCAUCCCGUAGAAGAUAUUGAGAGAUGGCACGAGGUUUGUCUUGUCCCCAAGGAUUUUCUUGUCAACAUGUUCAUCAUGGCCGUAGUAGCUUUGUGCUUUAAGGCGUACUAGUGCCAGCACGAUGCGCAAUACUGCUGCUGGAAUCUGGAGGUUUCCGAAUGACACUAUUACUACUAGGCCACAUAAUUUAAAUAUGAGAAUCACAAUCCAUCCGACGCCUUCAAAAGUGAACACAAACAUCGCUACUGCAGCUAGCAUGCACAAGUUUAGAAUAACUCGACGCCAAUAUAUUAUUCUCCUGCCGAGAGUCAAGUCUACUAGUUUCAUGAUACCUGGGAAUUGCAGCCUGCUGAUUGUCGCUAGGAGCACGACCACAAAUAAUACCAGAUACAUUGUCAGCUUGGCGAUUGAGUUUUUGAAACUGAGUUUGUGAAUGUUGAAAUCCUCAUCGAAGCUAUAUGGUGCAGAGGGACCAAGCAAUAGGACUGCAACAACUGGGCUCCAUAAUGACAUCGCACGGCAUAGCAGAUUGCAUAUGAGUAGUCGUGCAGCUCCUGGAAACAGAGAUGGGCUAAUCGCAAGCACUGCCAAGGGCAAAGCUGGUAUUUGUAUUGUUGCAUACUUAUUCCAGAUUAGAAUGCACACUAGGACAUUGGAAAAACAUAACACCAAGAUCAUAGCAUUCCAGCUAAGAGACUUGAAAGAACCUCUGGAACGGAAGAACAAUCGAUAAUCCAGGUUAUUGUUGCGGCUGAACAUCCUGAAAUAAAUACAAGAUGGUAUAAUUAAACAAAAAGGCAACAUGCAAUCCACAAUGCAAGGAUGACAUAUACAUGUAUUUAAAAUACAACAAGAAUUCUGAAAUUACCCGAAUACAGCUCUAGACUUUGAGUGCCAAACAUGUACAACUGGGGACGUAUUGUUUCCAUAUAUAUUUUGUUUGAGUUAGUAUUGAUGGUUUGACAAGACCCUGACAGGGGUAAAUUUACCUAUUCUAAGGCUUGCAGCAACUUUCUGGGUCCUUUGAAAUAGUAAAAAUGACAACUGCUUCAAAAGAAUGUACUGCAAUUAACCUAGAAGAUAUGCUCCAACGGAAAAUUCAUGUUUUAUGCUGGUAUAACUCUUGUUUCUUGAUUGGACUUUGAGCAGUUUAUCUCCAAGGUUUUAAGUAGUGGAUGUCGGGUUGGCAAUGGGUUGACUUUGGUGUAUCUACUAAUAUAGGAUAUCAAACAAUAUGCCCAAGUACUGGCCAGGAAUGUUGUGAGUGGAGAGUUGGGGAUGUGUUUGUUGGCAAUUUUAGAAAGGAGGCGCUUGCCCGACUUUAACUAACUGAAGCCAUUAAAUCGUUUGCAACAAAUAGUACCAGAAACAAAGAAUGAAAAAUGUUCGAUAUAGACCCAACGGGGCGAAGGCAAGGCUGCCAACAUAACGGGAGGCGUUUGUUGGCAAUUGAUGAGCCCUAAGACCUAAGCAGUCAUCUAGUUCAGGUUGCAUGCAUGUAGCAUCUGAAGGAGAGGAACAUCCUCCUCUUCAGCGACAUAGGAUUUGUGCUGCAGCUAGGGGGGAAACGGAUCGGAUGCGGAUGGGAUACUGCUCUUCCAACUUCCAUUUUCAUAUUUUCAAAACAAAUACAAAUGCGAAUACGGAUGUUAUUGGAUGCGAAUGUGGUGAGGAUGUUACUUGAAUACGGAUACACAUUGGUUGUUUACUCAAUUCGGAACGAAUACAAAUAGUAACGGCAUAUUAGUUAAAUAAAAUAAGUCAAUAGUUAUGUGACAACAAAUAAUCAACUUGCAACAUACAGUAAGCCAAUUAUAGACAGGUUUAUGAAUAAAUACUACUAUGAUGCGUACUAAUUUCUAAGUUUAGUCAUACAAAAAGUAAAGUUUGACCACUUCUUAGGCUUGUAUGUUGGAUAAUUGGCAUAUUGGGACAAGUAUUUCUCAAAUUAGUUCACGUAAUUUUAUUUGGAUACGGAUAUAUCCAUAUCCAUAUGCAUAUUUGUGUCAAAAUUCCAUACCAUAUUUGUAUUUGAAUUUGCAAAAUAAAUCCGGACACCUUCCAUUUCCAUUUCCAAUUUAGUUCGGAUGCGGAUGUUUCGGAUAUGAAUAAGAAUUUUCUCGAAUACAAAUAUCGGCUAUUUUGAAUUAUCCACGGCCACUUUCAACCCCUGGCCGCAGCCAAUUGUCAGGCAAUAUACAAAACCUAUAAAAUAUCUGUAUUUUGGGCAAUACAUAUAUCGGGACAACUGUACUGGACAUCAGGAACUGUACUCUGCGCAUGCAUGUGGGCUCUUUAGUUUUUGGCUUUGUUCCUCUAAGAGGACAAGCUAAACUAUUUACUGGAUGGAGCUUAUUAAACAUAAAGAUCACUUCCUGGCUUUGUGGAGGUUUGAGAUUGGGAAUGGGGAAAGUGUAAGAUUUUGGGAAGAUAGGCGGAUUAAUAAUAGAGCCCUGAAGGAUGUCUUUCCUAGGCUUUAUAGCAUAUGCUUUGAUACGAAAAAUCGGUUAAAUAUAUAUUUGAUAAAGUUUUGGAUAAUGUUGCCUUCCGAAGAACCCUAUAUGGGGAUUCUUUGGAACUUUGGGACCACAUUAAAGACAGUUGUCGGAGUGUGGUGCUAAAUAAUGAUAGAGAUAAUAUUGUUUGGACCCUGGACAGAAAAGGGAUAUACACUGUUAAAUCUUAUUACAGAUUUCUGAUUGAGAAUAGGGUCAAAUAUCCACAUAAGUUCUUAUGGAAGACUAAAAUGCCACCUAGAUUGAAAGUCUUUAUGUGGGUAGUAUUGAGAAACAGUAUUUUGACUAGAGAUAAUUUGAUUCGUAGAGGGUGGGUUAGAGAGAAAACUUUCCCCUUUUGCAUGCAAGAUGAGAGUGUGGACCAUCUGUUUUUUAAGUGUUCUAUGGCAAAAAUGAUGUGGAAUGUUACACAGUUUGCUUUUAACUUGAAACAAGUUUCUGAUAAUUUGCAUGAUCUAUUUGGGGUAUGGUUGAAACAAUUUAACAAAGAUGAGAAAUCCCUCGUGACUGUAGGGAUUGCAGCUGUCUUCUGGAUAAUUUGGAAGCUUAGAAAUAGGGUGGUUUUCGAUAAAAACAGGGUUUAUGAUCCCUGUGUACCAAUGAAUCUGAUGAUCAAGAUGCUUCAUGAUUGGCUUAUAUUGCAGAUAAACCCAAGAAGACGAAGAAUAAUGACGGAGGGCAUAAAAAAAGUUGUACUAGUGGCAGCAGAAAUCUUCAGGGCGGUGCUGGGAUGGAGAGCCGUUCGCAGGACUGCGGCGACGUGAUCUUCUGAAGUUUCUUCACACUGGUGAAAGCCUUGUGGGAGAUUUAUUCUGUCAUCGAUCUAUACAUGUAGCUCCUGUCUUAUUUCUUCAGUCUGAACUGUUGGGGGUUAUGCUACUAGUUAUCGUUUGUUCUGAACUUGAUGUUCUGGUUGUUUUUGCUUGAGUCGUCCUGGAGAACUCGGCUUGUGGGAUUUCUCAGGGCUGUGCUGGGUGGUUGCGUUUUGCGUUUGUGAAACCUAGUCAGUUUCUUAGAUUGGGUAAAAAUCUGCACUUCAAAGGACGGAGGCUGUGGGAUUGGCUCUUUUGCAUCUUCAAGGAGUGUGCAUCGUAGGAUUUGGAGAGAAUUUCUUAUUUAACAUUGUCUUAAAAUUGGAUGCCCUAUUUAACACCGAAAAAAUAUUUCUUCCCUCUAUGACAUCAACUCUAAAUUUUGUUCCCAAUAUAACACAUAUG
This 11397-nucleotide long non-coding RNA is filed under the name Triticum aestivum (bread wheat). RNAcentral's name for it is "long non-coding RNA (TAES_LNC020238)". Lineage: Eukaryota; Viridiplantae; Streptophyta; Magnoliopsida; Poales; Poaceae. The record is from RNAcentral.